RNAcentral lists this ribosomal RNA (466 nucleotides) under uncultured bacterium. Its description in RNAcentral is "bacterial SSU rRNA". It matches the Rfam family "Bacterial small subunit ribosomal RNA", at positions 355 to 825 of the family's 1533-position model. The record is from RNAcentral.
UAGGGAAUAUUGGGCAAUGGAGGGAACUCUGACCCAGCCAUGCCGCGUGCAGGAUGAAGGCGUUAUGCGUUGUAAACUGCUUUUAUAUAGGAAGAAAUAGUCCUUGCGAGGAAAGUUGACGGUACUAUAUGAAUAAGCACCGGCUAACUCCGUGCCAGCAGCCGCGGUAAUACGGAGGGUGCAAGCGUUGUCCGGAUUUAUUGGGUUUAAAGGGUGCGUAGGCGGUUUAUUAAGUCAGUGGUGAAAGACGGUCGCUCAACGAUUGCAGUGCCAUUGAUACUGGCAGACUUGAGUAUGAUUGAGGUAGCUGGAAUGGAUAGUGUAGCGGUGAAAUGCAUAGAUAUUAUCCAGAACACCAAUUGCGUAGGCAAGUUACUAAGUCAUAACUGACGCUGAGGCACGAAAGUGUGGGUAUCAAACAGGAUUAGAUACCCCAGUAGUCCCUGAGCGGGCUGGCAAGGCGCAU